UGAGCGGCCAGGCCCUAGUCCGGGAAGGAGGCGGGGCUUUUUCUUGAGUGAGCCUGAGGGAUCGCUGCGCAGAGGCCUCGUUACCGUCGGCAGGGGGAAAAGGAGGUAUUUUAUGCUACCCUUAGCUGUAUGUUUAUGACAGUGGUGAUGCAGGGCCUUUGGUGAUGGACCAGAUGAUGGAAUGGUGGCAUGAAGAACAACAGCAGAUGGAGGAACGAGCAAGAUGCCAACCCUCCCCCCCACCCCGGGGUGGGAGGUAAACUCAUGUGAAAGCAUCUCUGUACUCUGGGUCUCCAUUGACCAAGGACAACAACUCUGGCGUUUGGAGGGCCCGGGACCUCAAAUCGUCUAACGACUGAUUUCGGACCGAGGCAAGAGGAACACAGGAUCGGACUGGAUCUGGAACCAGGUAAAUUAGUGACCCUGGAUAUACAGGAUACCGGACAGAUAAGUUCAAUUAGAUGGUAUACGCCCUCCUUGACAACGCUGCUCUCUUGGUCCGUCGCCGCACAAAGGCACUUGACUGCCUCUCAGAUGGACAGCGACAGCUAACAGUCAUGGAAGCCUUUUUACAAGCACCAGGGCGCCAAAGUUCCACAGCGACUCCAGCUGGAACCAGAUUUCACAUGAGAGUCUGUCAGCUUUUUCCACCCUUAGCGCAAAGCGCGCGAAAAUGUCCAAAAGGACAUAACUUAACCACAACAUUGAACAAUUGUCAUAACUAUUAAUACAAACAGUACUAAAACAUCACAGAGCACACAACACACAAGUUUUCCUCCAACACUGCCUGGAAAGUAAUUCAGAUUUCUAUAAAGAAAAGGAGUACCCGUGGCACCUUAGAGACUAACAAAUUUAUUAGAGCAUAAGCUUUCGUGAGCUACAGCUCGCUUAUGCUCUAAUAAAUGUGUUAGUCUCUAAGGUGCCACGGGUACUCCUUUUCUUUUUGCGAAUACAGACUAACACGGCUGCUACUCUGAAACCUGUCAGAUUUCUAUGUGAUGCAUGCUAAUUUUAGCUGAAUUAAAAUAUAAUGAACAAACCAUUUCAAAACAUUCUUGAUGAGUUAAGCAAACAAGCCCUGAGGAAUAGGCAAAGCAAACGUGGCUUGCGUAGGGUGUCACAAGGCAGAGAGACAAGAAACAGUUCCCCAUUCUUUGAUUAGACAUUUUAAAUUGGUUUCACUAUAUACAGAGUACUCUUCUAGUGCCAUCUUAUGGUCUUAAAUAGAGCUGCAGUCUCUGCAGAUGGACAUUCCCCUCUGCCGUCCCCCACGAAAGGUUAAAUUAAACCAAAACAAUCCAGAUCAGCAUUUCACUUUAUUAGAUAUCCUUCCUUGUCAGGUUCCAGUUCUGGCCCACUACAGCUUUUUCUAUUGUAUACCGUAAACAUUGGCCUAGAGCUGCCUAGCUGAUGACUGAAUCUGAGCCAGAGCUAAGGCUGAUGGAAAUUUGCAGGUAUUUUUGGAGAAAUCUGCAGGGUUUCCCUUCCCUCCAACCUACAGAAUUUCUAUGGAGAGUUAUAAAUUUGUUUCCUAUCCUAUCUGACCCAGCUCUUACAUUUUAAUAAGAGGUAAAAGCUUAUCCACAACAGUUUAUUAUUUUAUUAUAAUCUGCCUACAUUGAUGCUAGACUAAAUUUUAUAGAAAAUCUGCAAAAUCUCACAAGAUGGUGCAUGUUUUGAAGGUAAUCACCACAGCUGCAAGGGUGAGAGAUUUAAGGCUUGUCUACACUUUAAGUGCUACAGCAGCACAGCUUCAGGGCUGAGCAGCACAGCUGUAAUGUUUCAGUGUAGACACUACCUCCGACAAUGGGAGGAAUUCUCCUGUCAGUGUAGGUAAUCCACUUCCCCAAGAGGCUGUAGCUAGGUAGAUGAAAGAAUUCUUCUGUUGACUUAUCACUGUCUACCCAAGGAUUAGGGGAGUCAGUUUAACUAUAUCACUCAGGAGUGUGGAUUUUUCACAUCCUGAGUGAUGUAGCUGGGUCAACCUAACACUUAAUUGUAGACCAGGCUAAGGCCAAAAUUUUUAAAUUUGGGUGCUUAAAAUCAGGCUCCAAAAUCCAUAUUUAGGCACUUAAAUAAAAGUAGUCUGAUUUUUCAAAGUUGUUGAGCAUCUCUUAUUCCCAUGUUCUUCGAUGGAAAUUGUGUGUAUUAAAUACUUCUGUAAAUCAGCCCACUUGCAUUUACAUUCCGCACUGGGUCUUGCCUGUCAUUGAUACUUGUUGUGGGCUGGGAGAACAUACUUAAGUAAAACCAAACUGGUUUGAGAAAGGCAAUGUAAGAAGUCAAUCAGUUUAGGUUACCAAUUUUUUUGGGAGGGGGAGAGACGAUUAAAAUGUGUUUCCUGUAAUAAAUCACAGAAAAUCACCCUGGAACAGUCACCUCUUAUGUAAGAAGUGCUAGAAUUUGAGACUUUACAGAUGUCUCUUACCCUUGCAGUUGCAGUGAUUACCUUCAAAACAUGAACCAUAGAUGGGGUGACCAGAUAGCAACUGUGGAAAAAACGGGACAGGGGGGCAAUAGGUGCCUAUAUAAGAAAAAGUCCCUAAAAAUGGGACAUCUGGUCACCCUAGCCAUACAUAAACCACCUGAAACAAUAGCUCUGUAUGAACUGCUCCCAUGCAUUUUACAAACCUUUGAAAGUGUAAACAGGAAUUCAGCCGCAAGCCAGUAAAAGGUCUUUCUACCAUAUAAGGAUUUCAUCUUACUUAACCAAUAUUCUAUAACUAAGUUUUCAGGCCAGCUGAGGGCACUUUUUCUAGGGACCCACUAAAUGUAGCUUUAUUAGCUGGCUUUCAUUUUGUGCUUUCCUUCUGUAUUAGAUGUGAAGAUUGUUAAAUUUAGGAUAACUGUGUUGAGGCACUUUGAAGUGAAAGAAACUGAAUUCUAAUCUCGGAGAAGACUGAGUCAGAAGUGGGGGAACAGAUGAGUAUCUAGUCAAGGGCAUCCGGAACGAGCAAUGUUUAUCCCUGAACAAUGCCAUAAAGGCGAUGACAUGGGUCAGUGUGGGUAUGGAAUGAGCCACAUGACCUUAAGUGGGGUAGACCAUUCCUUGGCUAUAGAAAGUUGGUGUUCAGAAAAGACUGGAGGCUGCAGCAUUUCAUUGAAGCUACUUAGAUAGCUGACAAGUAAAGUAGUAGGCCAGCAUCGUUUGGAUAUAUGAAAAUUAGAAAUGAGCCUGAACGCAAAUCUUGGCUAAGAAUAUCUAUGAACUUAAGCUCUUUGGAUCCAGAGUUUGUGUGUGGUUCAGCCAGUUAUGAAUGAAAUUAGGCUUCUUUCUUCUUAUUGUUAGCCUGGACCCAUAUUCUCUGAGCAAAGGACCACAGUUCUGUGAGGCGUACAUAGUUUUUUAUGAGAACAUUAAUUACCCAUGAAUGUUAACUCCUUUAUGUUAACUCCUACAACCUAUCCUGAAGGACGACCCAUCACUCUCACAGAUCUUGGGAGACAGGCCAGUCCUUGCUUACAGACAGCCCCCCAACCUGAAGCAAAUACUCACCAAUAACCACAC
This is a long non-coding RNA of Dermochelys coriacea (leatherback sea turtle), 3508 nucleotides long. RefSeq lists it as uncharacterized. The transcript has 3 exons. NCBI's taxonomy places the organism in Eukaryota, Metazoa, Chordata, Testudines, Dermochelyidae. The record is from RefSeq and is a predicted model, not a curated record.